RNAcentral lists this ribosomal RNA (504 nucleotides) under uncultured bacterium. RNAcentral's name for it is "bacterial SSU rRNA". It matches the Rfam family "Bacterial small subunit ribosomal RNA", at positions 27 to 518 of the family's 1533-position model. The record is from RNAcentral.
GGAUAAACGCUGGCGGCGUGCUUAACACAUGCAAGUCGAACGGAGUAAUUCUCCCGAAGAUUGAGGAAGCUUGCUCUGAAAGAUUCAUUGAAUACUUAGUGGCGGACGGGUGAGUAACGCGUGGGAAACCUGCCCUAUACUGGGGGAUAGCAGUUGGAAACGACUGAUAAUACCGCAUAAGCGCACAGCUUCGCAUGAAGCAGUGUGAAAAACUCCGGUGGUAUAGGAUGGUCCCGCGUCUGAUUAGCUAGUUGGUGAGGUAACGGCCCACCAAGGCAACGAUCAGUAGCCGGCCUGAGAGGGUGUACGGCCACAUUGGGACUGAGGCACGGCCCAAACUCCUACGGGAGGCAGCAGUGGGGAAUAUUGGACAAUGGGGGGAACCCUGAUCCCAGCGACGCCGCGUGAACGAAGAAGUAUUUCGGUAUGUAAAGUUCUAUCAGCAGGGAAGAUAAUGACGGUACCUGACUAAGAAGCACCGGCUAAAUACGUGCCAGCAGCCGC